AAUAAGUGUAGUUUUGCACUAUUCAUGUCCAACGUUUGACCGUUCGUCUUAUUUGAAAUUUUUUUGUGAUUAAUAUUUUUAUUGUUAUUAGAUGAUAAAACAUGAAUAAUACUUUAUGGGUGACUAUUUAUUUUUAGUUUUUUUUCAUAAAUUUUUUAAAUAAGACGAACGGUCAAACGUUGGACACGGAUCUCCACGACUGCACUUAUU
This is a non-coding RNA of Oryza barthii, 210 nucleotides long. Lineage: Eukaryota; Viridiplantae; Streptophyta; Magnoliopsida; Poales; Poaceae. The record is from Rfam.